UACGUAGGGUGCGAGCGUUAAUCGGAAUUACUGGGCGUAAAGCGUGCGCAGGCGGUUUUGUAAGCCCGAUGUGAAAUCCCCGGGCUUAACCUGGGAAUGGCAUUUGGGACUGCAAGGCUGGAGUGCGGCAGAGGAGACUGGAAUUCCUGGUGUAGCAGUGAAAUGCGUAGAUAUCAGGAGGAACACCGAUGGCGAAGGCAGGUCUCUGGGCUGACACUGACGCUCAUGCACGAAAGCGUGGGGAGCAAACAGG
This 253-nucleotide ribosomal RNA is filed under the name uncultured bacterium. RNAcentral's name for it is "partial 16S ribosomal RNA". It matches the Rfam family "Bacterial small subunit ribosomal RNA", at positions 524 to 776 of the family's 1533-position model. The record is from RNAcentral.